AUCAGGCAUGGUGGUGCAUGCCUGUAGUCCCAGCUAGUCAGGAGGCUGAGGCGGGAGAAUCGUUUGAGCCCAGGAGUUCCAGGCUGCAGUGUGCCAUGAUCAUUCCUAUGAAUAGCCACUGCACUCCUGCCUGGGCAACAGAGCCAGAUCCUGUCUGUU
RNAcentral lists this non-coding RNA (159 nucleotides) under Chlorocebus sabaeus (green monkey). Lineage: Eukaryota; Metazoa; Chordata; Mammalia; Primates; Cercopithecidae. The record is from Rfam by way of RNAcentral.